RNAcentral lists this ribosomal RNA (517 nucleotides) under Staphylococcus sp. SS43. RNAcentral describes it as "bacterial SSU rRNA". It matches the Rfam family "Bacterial small subunit ribosomal RNA", at positions 50 to 545 of the family's 1533-position model. The record is from RNAcentral. Lineage: Bacteria; Bacillati; Bacillota; Bacilli; Caryophanales; Staphylococcaceae.
UAUACAUGCAGUCGAGCGAACAGACGAGGAGCUUGCUCCUCUGACGUUAGCGGCGGACGGGUGAGUAACACGUGGAUAACCUACCUAUAAGACUGGGAUAACUUCGGGAAACCGGAGCUAAUACCGGAUAAUAUAUUGAACCGCAUGGUUCAAUAGUGAAAGACGGUUUUGCUGUCACUUAUAGAUGGAUCCGCGCCGCAUUAGCUAGUUGGUAAGGUAACGGCUUACCAAGGCAACGAUGCGUAGCCGACCUGAGAGGGUGAUCGGCCACACUGGAACUGAGACACGGUCCAGACUCCUACGGGAGGCAGCAGUAGGGAAUCUUCCGCAAUGGGCGAAAGCUUGACGGAGCAACGCCGCGUGAGUNAUGAAAGGUCUUCGGGAUCGUAAAAACUCCUGUUAAUUAGGAAGAAACAAAUGGUGUAAGUACUAAUGCCCCGCCUUGACGGUACCUAAAUCAGAAGCCACGGCUAAACUACCGUGCCAGCGCGCGUAUACGUAGGUGGCAGCGUUAUCG